GUCUCCGUAGCUCAGUGGAUAGAGCACUGGUUUCCGGUACCAAAGGUCGCAGGUUCGAAUCCUGUCGGGGAC
This 72-nucleotide transfer RNA is filed under the name Corynebacterium sp. RNAcentral describes it as "tRNA-Arg". It matches the Rfam family "tRNA". From Rfam's summary of the family: Transfer RNA (tRNA) molecules are approximately 80 nucleotides in length. Their secondary structure includes four short double-helical elements and three loops (D, anti-codon, and T loops). Further hydrogen bonds mediate the characteristic L-shaped molecular structure. tRNAs have two regions of fundamental functional importance: the anti-codon, which is responsible for specific mRNA codon recognition, and the 3' end, to which the tRNAs corresponding amino acid is attached (by aminoacyl-tRNA synthetases). tRNAs cope with the degeneracy of the genetic code in two manners: having more than one tRNA (with a specific anti-codon) for a particular amino acid; and 'wobble' base-pairing, i.e. permitting non-standard base-pairing at the 3rd anti-codon position. Lineage: Bacteria; Bacillati; Actinomycetota; Actinomycetes; Mycobacteriales; Corynebacteriaceae. The record is from RNAcentral.